Molecule: ribosomal RNA, 1760 nt
Filed under: Vibrio cholerae
Lineage: Bacteria; Pseudomonadati; Pseudomonadota; Gammaproteobacteria; Vibrionales; Vibrionaceae
Description: partial 23S ribosomal RNA
Rfam family: Bacterial large subunit ribosomal RNA
Source: RNAcentral
AAGCUGCGGCAAUGUCUUUUAGACAUUGGGUAGGGGAGCGUUCUGUAAGCCGUUGAAGGUGAAUCGUAAGGUUUGCUGGAGGUAUCAGAAGUGCGAAUGCUGACAUGAGUAACGACAAAGGGGGUGAAAAACCUCCUCGCCGGAAGACCAAGGGUUCCUGUCCAACGUUAAUCGGGGCAGGGUGAGUCGACCCCUAAGGUGAGGCCGAAAGGCGUAAUCGAUGGGAAACGGGUUAAUAUUCCCGUACUUCUGACUAUUGCGAUGGGGGGACGGAGAAGGCUAGGUGGGCCAGGCGACGGUUGUCCUGGUUCAAGUGCGUAGGCUUGAGAGUUAGGUAAAUCCGGCUCUCUCUAAGGCUGAGACACGACGUCGAGCUACUACGGUAGUGAAGUCAUUGAUGCCAUGCUUCCAGGAAAAGCCUCUAAGCUUCAGAUAGUCAGGAAUCGUACCCCAAACCGACACAGGUGGUCGGGUAGAGAAUACCAAGGCGCUUGAGAGAACUCGGGUGAAGGAACUAGGCAAAAUGGUACCGUAACUUCGGGAGAAGGUACGCUCUUGAUGGUGAAGUCCCUCGCGGAUGGAGCUGACGAGAGUCGCAGAUACCAGGUGGCUGCAACUGUUUAUUAAAAACACAGCACUGUGCAAAAUCGCAAGAUGACGUAUACGGUGUGACGCCUGCCCGGUGCCGGAAGGUUAAUUGAUGGGGUUAGCGCAAGCGAAGCUCUUGAUCGAAGCCCCGGUAAACGGCGGCCGUAACUAUAACGGUCCUAAGGUAGCGAAAUUCCUUGUCGGGUAAGUUCCGACCUGCACGAAUGGCGUAAUGAUGGCCACGCUGUCUCCACCCGAGACUCAGUGAAAUUGAAAUCGCUGUGAAGAUGCAGUGUACCCGCGGCUAGACGGAAAGACCCCGUGAACCUUUACUACAGCUUGGCACUGAACAUUGAACCUACAUGUGUAGGAUAGGUGGGAGGCUAUGAAGACGUGACGCCAGUUGCGUUGGAGCCGUCCUUGAAAUACCACCCUUGUAUGUUUGAUGUUCUAACUUAGACCCAUUAUCUGGGUUGAGGACAGUGCCUGGUGGGUAGUUUGACUGGGGCGGUCUCCUCCCAAAGAGUAACGGAGGAGCACGAAGGUGGGCUAAUCACGGUUGGACAUCGUGAGGUUAGUGCAAUGGCAUAAGCCCGCUUAACUGCGAGAAUGACGGUUCGAGCAGGUGCGAAAGCAGGUCAUAGUGAUCCGGUGGUUCUGUAUGGAAGGGCCAUCGCUCAACGGAUAAAAGGUACUCCGGGGAUAACAGGCUGAUACCGCCCAAGAGUUCAUAUCGACGGCGGUGUUUGGCACCUCGAUGUCGGCUCAUCACAUCCUGGGGCUGAAGUCGGUCCCAAGGGUAUGGCUGUUCGCCAUUUAAAGUGGUACGCGAGCUGGGUUUAGAACGUCGUGAGACAGUUCGGUCCCUAUCUGCCGUGGGCGUUGGAAGAUUGAAGGGGGCUGCUCCUAGUACGAGAGGACCGGAGUGGACGAACCUCUGGUGUUCGGGUUGUGUCGCCAGACGCAUUGCCCGGUAGCUAAGUUCGGAAUUGAUAAGCGCUGAAAGCAUCUAAGCGCGAAGCGAGCCCUGAGAUGAGUCUUCCCUGACAGUUUAACUGUCCUAAAGGGUUGUUCGAGACUAGAACGUUGAUAGGCAGGGUGUGUAAGCGUUGUGAGGCGUUGAGCUAACCUGUACUAAUUGCCCGUGAGGCUUAACCAUACAACACCCAAGG